CCUACGGGGGGCUGCAGUGGGGAAUAUUGCACAAUGGGGGAAACCCUGAUGCAGCAACGCCGCGUGAGCGAUGAAGGCCUUCGGGUCGUAAAGCUCUGUCCUAAGGGAAGAAUACUGACGGUACCUUAGGAGGAAGCCCCGGCUAACUACGUGCCAGCAGCCGCGGUAAUACGUAGGGGGCUAGCGUUAUCCGGAAUUACUGGGCGUAAAGGGUGCGUAGGCGGCCCUUCAAGUCAGAGGUGAAAGGCUACGGCUCAACCGUAGUAAGCCUUUGAAACUGUAGGGCUUGAGUGGAGGAGGGGAGAGUGAAAGUCCCAGGGUGGGGGUGAAAGGCGGAGUUAUUGGGAAGAACACCGGUUGCGGAGGGGGCUCUCGGGACUGUAACUGACGCUGAGGCACGAAAGCGUGGGGAGCGAACAGGAUUAGAUACCCUUGUAGUC
Molecule: ribosomal RNA, 440 nt
Filed under: uncultured bacterium
Lineage: Bacteria
Description: bacterial SSU rRNA
Rfam family: Bacterial small subunit ribosomal RNA
Source: RNAcentral